GACGAACGCUGGCGGCGUGCUUAACACAUGCAAGUCGAACGGAAAGGCCUGCUUUCCCUUGUGGAUUGCGGGUACUCGAGUGGCGAACGGGUGAGUAACACGUGAGUGAUCUGCCCCCAACUUGGGUAUAAGCCUGGGGAACUGGGUCUAAUUCCCGAUAGGACUGCAGGGUGGUGCCUGUGGUGGAAAACGAUUUUCUAGUGGUUGGGGAUGAGCUCGCGGCCUAUCAGCUUGUUGGUGGGGUAAUGGCCUACCAAGGCGGCGACGGGUAGCCGGCCUGAGAGGGUGGACGGCCACAUUGGGACUGGGAUACGGCCCAGACUCCUACGGGAGGCAGCAGUGGGGAAUAUUGCACAAUGGGCGGAAGCCUGAUGCAGCGACGCAGCGUGGGGGAUGACGGCCUUCGGGUGGUAAACUCCUUUCGACCGCGAGGAAGCCACCUGGUUGGAAGGGUGGUGACGGUAGUGGUAGAAGAAGCACCGGCUAACUACGUG
This 494-nucleotide ribosomal RNA is filed under the name uncultured bacterium. RNAcentral's name for it is "partial 16S ribosomal RNA". It matches the Rfam family "Bacterial small subunit ribosomal RNA", at positions 28 to 507 of the family's 1533-position model. The record is from RNAcentral.